AGUCGAACGAGAGGACAAGAGAAGCUUGCUUCUUUUGAAGUCGAGUGGCAAACGGGUGAGUAACACGUAAACAACCUGCCUUCAGGAUGGGGACAACAGACGGAAACGACUGCUAAUACCGAAUACGCUUGGGAGACCGCAUGAUCUUCCAAGGAAAGGGUGGCCUCUACCUGUAAGCUAUCGCCUGAAGAGGGGUUUGCGUCUGAUUAGGCAGUUGGUGAGGUAACGGCCCACCAAACCUACGAUCAGUAGCCGGCCUGAGAGGAUGAACGGCCACACUGGAACUGAGACACGGUCCAGACUCCUACGGGAGGCAGCAGUGGGGAAUCUUCCGCAAUGGGCGAAAGCCUGACGGAGCAACGCCGCGUGAGUGAUGACGGCCUUCGGGUUGUAAAGCUCUGUGAUCGGGGACGAACGGUCCGUAAGCUAAUACCUUAUGGAAGUGACGGUACCCGAAUAGCAAGCCACGGCUAACUACGUGCCAGCAGCCGCGGUAAUACGUAGGUGGCAAGCGUUGUCCGGAAUUAUUGGGCGUAAAGCGCGCGCAGGCGGCUUUCUAAGUCCAUCUUAAAAGUGCGGGGCUUAACCCCGUGAUGGGAUGGAAACUGGAAAGCUGGAGUAUCGGAGAGGAAAGUGGAAUUCCUAGUGUAGCGGUGAAAUGCGUAGAGAUUAGGAAGAACACCGGUGGCGAAGGCGACUUU
This 701-nucleotide ribosomal RNA is filed under the name uncultured bacterium. Its description in RNAcentral is "bacterial SSU rRNA". It matches the Rfam family "Bacterial small subunit ribosomal RNA", at positions 60 to 728 of the family's 1533-position model. The record is from RNAcentral.